GUGAGGAAUAUUGCGCAAUGGAGGAAACUCUGACGCAGCAACGCCGCGUGGGGGAUGAAGCUCUAUGGAGUGUAAACCCCUGUAAGCAGGGACGAAAGGUAUCUAUUCGCAAGGGUAGGUACGUGACGGUACCUGCAGAGUAAGCUCCGGCUAACUCCGUGCCAGCAGCCGCGGUAAUACGGGGGGAGCGAGCGUUGUCCGGAAUUACUGGGCGUAAAGGGCGUGUAGGCGGUUUGAUAAGUCAGAUGUGAAAGGUCCCGGCUUAACCGGGGAAGGUCAUUUGAGACUGUCGGGCUGGAGUGCGAGAGAGGGUAGCGGAAUUCCCAGUGUAGCGGUGAAAUGCGUAGAUAUUGGGAAGAACACCAGUAGCGCAGGCGGCUACCUGGCUCGUAACUGACGCUGAGGCGCGAAAGCGUGGGGAGCAAACAGGAUUAGAAACCCCAGUAGUCC
RNAcentral lists this ribosomal RNA (450 nucleotides) under uncultured bacterium. RNAcentral describes it as "bacterial SSU rRNA". It matches the Rfam family "Bacterial small subunit ribosomal RNA", at positions 354 to 796 of the family's 1533-position model. The record is from RNAcentral.